This is a long non-coding RNA of Pyrus x bretschneideri (Chinese white pear), 2598 nucleotides long. RefSeq lists it as uncharacterized. The record is from RefSeq and is a predicted model, not a curated record. NCBI's taxonomy places the organism in Eukaryota, Viridiplantae, Streptophyta, Magnoliopsida, Rosales, Rosaceae. The transcript is spliced from 3 exons.
ACGCGCUUUCCUCGAAUUUCCCAAAUUUGGACAAAAUGGAGGUGCAAGCCGUGCAAUUGGAAAACAGUCGGUCUCUCUUCCCUCUCUCUCACUCGGUCUCUCUCUUUCUCUCUGUCACAAAAUUGCAGAGGCCGAACGAAACCCUAAAUACCAGGUAAGUCGUCCUCUCCUUCCAUCUCCCCAAGCUCUCUCGCACGGCCUCUCACCAGUCACUGCUCACCAAGUCGCCAAUCACCAUCGUUUUCCCCCUCCAGUCGCGUCCUCCACCACCAAACUCCCAUUCGCGUCGUCCUCCAUCGGUUUUCUUUCUCUCACCAUCGUCCUGCACCACUAGCUGCUAAGUGCUUACUUCGCCACUCCAAUCUUAAGGAAAUAUAGGUUUUGGCCAACUGGUUUCCGUUGCUAUAGCCUGCCUAUAUUUUCACUGUGUGUUGAUUACCACGUGAUUUCCAUUCAAAAUCAAGCUACCCAGAAAGAUGUGUUCCAGUUGUUUGCUGAGAAGGUGAGAGACAAUAAGGAUUUAGUGUCUAGGUGGGCUGUUCUACAGGAGCCACAUGUGGAAUAUUUCAGGGGAGCUAAUCUCUUAAUUGUUCUUGUACAAUUAGCUUGCUGCCCUUGCAGUUGCAGGCUCUGCCCUUUAGUUUUUUCGUUUCAUCUUGGGAACCACUUAAGGACCAAGUAUUUUCUGAGAACGAUGCCUUCUCUGCAUGGACUUUUGUAAAACGAAGGCCUCUCUGGCAAACACUUCUUUCAUUUGUCUGGCCGGUGGUUACAUUGGCAAUAUGCUUGUUUCCUGUAUAUCCGCAUUGGUGCAAGCUACUAAUACUCUACUCAUGUCCCGGGGUCCUGCUACUUUUUUUUUUAUCUACUAGUUUGAAAGUUCUGAACUUCUGGUCAUUUGUUUUUAGUUUAAAAUAUUAUUAGGAACUUUACAUUCUCUUAAGUCUUAUUGGUUUACAGUGAUGUGGAUAUUAGAGUAUAAAUUAUGUUCAUACCACCCCUAUUCAAAAUGAUCACUAUUUUAUUACACUUACUGCUGUGUUGGAUAUAGCGACAAUUUUGCACAUUAGUGAUGUGGUGGACAGCAAUGUGCCUUGCAAUUGACAUAUCGAAUUUCAGGGUAUCAGAAGGUAGCUAAAGGGAAAUUUAGUCUCUAGGCUCUUAUUUUUACUCAAGUACUCAAUUUCUCUCCCUCUUUCUGUCCCUAUUCAAUGUUGUCUCUGUAAUUUCUUGAACCAUUGGUUUUUAAAUAAUCUUGUAUUGAAAUAUCAUUUCUCUAAUUAAACGGGUGUAGUUAUUUUUUGAACAUCAUAUUUAAUUGGGUUAAUGUGCAUGAACUUUUCAAGCAAUUUAUUAGUGAAUUUUGUAAAUAUUGUGAAGUUCUGGAUGUAUUUUGUAAGGGGUGUUGAUUUGGAUGAAGGGGUAGGGCAAUUGUGAGUAAGUUUGCGUAGCUUGGAGAUCCUGAGUAUAAUCCGCCUGUCCAAAAGGGCGAACUCCUAUAAGUUUUUUACUUGAAUCACUUGUAUGAGGACUUAGCGUUAUAAAUCUUUGUUUGUAGUGACAUUUAUUUGUUUUGCUUUGUGGGAUUCAGACACAAAGUAGGGCUUGAAUACACCAGUUAAGGCUUUGUAGAAGUUGAAUGGUUGUGCAAGCUGUUCUAAUUUCUGUUUUAGAUAUAUUUCAUAUCAUCUGAUUUUGUUUCAAGUUUUAAAUGUGUUUAUGGGUUUGCAUGAUGCAUGCAUUAUCUGUAUAUCUUUCUUUAGCUACAUGCUUGCUUGAGAGUUAUUAGAGGAUGAGUUUUGUCUCGUAUUUGCAAUGCGCCUAUGUUGUAAGAUACACUUUUAGGAUUAAUAAUUGGAUUAAGGUAGAUUUCCAAUAUAUAAAUCAUGUACCAAUUGCCAACUAUGACGACCUCUUAUCCUUUUGAACAUUCUCUCUACCUUAGCUAGCUAGCUAUGAACUUGAUGAUAUUGUAAUGAUGUCAAUCAAUUUAAUCAUUGAAUUACUACUUUUAUUUCAAAUUAUAGCUGCAAGCCAAUCUUAUCUUCUAUGUACUUAAGCUUUCAAUUUGCUUUGAGAACUAUUAAAUGUAAUGAACUAUGGUAUUGCCUUUGUUCCCUUAAUCUGUAUAUUGCCUUUGUUUCAUGUAUCUUCUCUGCAACCUAUUGGAGUCUAAGUAAGAAAUGGCUCAAUUAUUAUGUUUUAUCACAUGACAACUCAUAUUUAGAACAAAGAGGGUGUGGUUUUGGUGUAGUGAUAUUUGUAUCAUAAUUAAACUUGUGGUUGUGUGGUUUUGGUGUAGUAAGAUAUGAGGAGUGAUGAAGGAGCUACAUAAACUGUAGCGAGUUGCAUGAAGUACUGAGAUACAUGAAGGAGCUAUAUGGAGUGAUGAAAAAGCUAUAUGAAGGAGUGAUGAAGUAGCUUCAUACACUAUAUGUACAAAAGGGAAGAUGCUUUUAUCUGCACGUCUUCGAAAGAAUUCAAGUUUGUAUUUUGGAGUUUGAGGAUGUGUGUUAAUAUAUUCAAACAUAUUUCUUAGGUUUGUAAUGAAUGUAUUGGCUUUACCAAAUCGAUCUUAUAUGCAUUUGUUUUUAUUAA